This 798-nucleotide ribosomal RNA is filed under the name uncultured Glomeromycotina. RNAcentral describes it as "SSU rRNA". It matches the Rfam family "Eukaryotic small subunit ribosomal RNA", at positions 314 to 1114 of the family's 1831-position model. The record is from RNAcentral. Lineage: Eukaryota; Fungi; Glomeromycota.
AUCAACUUUCGAUGGUAGGAUAGAGGCCUACCAUGGUGGUAACGGGUAACGGGGUGUUAGGGCACGACACCGGAGAGGGAGCCUGAGAAACGGCUACCACAUCCAAGGAUGGCAGCAGGCGCGCAAAUUACCCAAUCCCGACACGGGGAGGUAGUGACAAUAAAUAACAAUACGGGGUUCUUUCGGAUCUCGUAAUUGGAAUGAGUACAAUUUAAAUCUCUUAACGGGGAACAAUUGGAGGGCAAGUCUGGUGCCAGCAGCCGCGGUAAUUCCAGCUCCAAUAGCGUAUAUUAAAGUUGUUGCAGUUAAAAAGCUCGUAGUUGAAUUUCGGGAUCAGAUUGUUGGUCGUGCCUCGGUACGUACUGGCAUUAUUGGUUCCUACCUUCUGAAGAACCGCGAUGUCAUUAAUUUGGUGUCGUGGGGAAUCAGGACUGUUACUUUGAAAAAAUUAGAGUGUUUAAAGCAGGCGCACGCUUGAAUACAUUAGCAUGGAAUAAUGAAAUAGGACGUUUGAUUCUAUUUUGCUGGUUUCUAGGAUCGACGUAAUGAUUAAUAGGGAUAGUUGGGGGCAUUAGUAUUCAAUUGUCAGAGGUGAAAUUCUUGGAUUUAUUGAAGACUAACUACUGCGAAAGCAUUUGCCAAGGAUGUUUUCAUUAAUCAAGAACGAAAGUUAGGGGAUCGAAGACGAUCAGAUACCGUCGUAGCCUUAACCAUAAACUAUGCCGACUAGGGAUCGGAUGAUGUUAAUUUUUUAAUGACUCAUUCGGCGCCUUACGGGAAACCAAAGUGUUUGGGUUC